GUGUGUCCUGUGUUUGUCCUGUGUGUGUCCUGUGUGUGUCCUGUGUGUGUCCUGUGUGUGUGUGUGUGUGUCCUGUGUGUGUGUGUGUGUCCUGUGUGUGUGUGUUGUGUGUCCUGUGUGUGUGUGAGUGUGUGUGUGUGUCCUGUGUGUGUGUGUGAGUGUCCUGUGUGUGUGUGUGAGUGUCCUGUGUGUGUGUGUGUGUGUCCUGUGUGUGUGUGUGUGUCCUGUGUGUGUGUGUGUGUGUCCUGUGUGUGUGUGUGUGUCCUGUGUGUGUGUCCUUGUGUGUCCUGUGUGUGUGUGUGUGUCCUGUGUGUGUGUGUGUGUCCUGUGUGUGUGUGUGUGUCCUGUGUGUGUGUGUGUGUCCUGUGUGUGUGUGUGUCCUGUGUGUGUGUGUGUGUCCUGUGUGUGUGUGUGUGUGUCCUGUGUGUGUGUCCUUGUGUGUGUGUGUGUGUGUGUGUGUGUGUCCUGUGUGUGUGUGUGAGUGUCCUGUGUGUGUGUGUGUGUGUGUGUUGUCUGUGUGUGUGUGUGUGUGUCCUGUGUGUGUGUGUGUGUGUGUGUCCUGUGUGUGUGUGUGUGUGUGUGUGUGUCCUGUGUGUGUGUGUGAGUGUCCUGUGUGUGUGUGUGUGUGUCCUGUGUGUGUGUGUGUGUCCUGUGUGUGUGUGUGUCCUGUGUGUGUGUGUGUGUCCUGUGUGUGUGUGUGUGUCCUGUGUGUGUGUGUGUGUCCUGUGUGUGUGUGUGUGUGUCCUGUGUGUGUGUGUGUGUGUCCUGGUGUGUGUGUGUGUGUGUCCUGUGUGUGUGUGUGUGUCCUGUGUGUCCUGUGUGUCCUGUGUGUGUGUGUG
RNAcentral lists this long non-coding RNA (839 nucleotides) under Salmo salar (Atlantic salmon). RNAcentral's name for it is "lncRNA (ENSSSAG00000088439.1)". Lineage: Eukaryota; Metazoa; Chordata; Actinopteri; Salmoniformes; Salmonidae. The record is from RNAcentral.